Molecule: small nuclear RNA, 129 nt
Filed under: Fukomys damarensis (Damara mole-rat)
Lineage: Eukaryota; Metazoa; Chordata; Mammalia; Rodentia; Bathyergidae
Description: U2 spliceosomal RNA
Rfam family: U2 spliceosomal RNA
About the family: U2 is a small nuclear RNA (snRNA) component of the spliceosome (involved in pre-mRNA splicing). Complementary binding between U2 snRNA (in an area lying towards the 5' end but 3' to hairpin I) and the branchpoint sequence (BPS) of the intron results the bulging out of an unpaired adenosine, on the BPS, which initiates a nucleophilic attack at the intronic 5' splice site, thus starting the first of two transesterification reactions that mediate splicing.
Source: Rfam by way of RNAcentral
AUCGCUUCUCGGCCUUUUGGCUAAGAUCAAGUGUAGUAUAAUAUUGACUGUUGGUUUUUCAUAGAAGGCUUUAUCAGGUUGAAAUAAAGACCAUUUAUUCCAAUUUUCUAUAGGGCUUUUAUCAUGAAU